RNAcentral lists this long non-coding RNA (550 nucleotides) under Homo sapiens (human). Its description in RNAcentral is "non-protein coding LINC01608:14". Lineage: Eukaryota; Metazoa; Chordata; Mammalia; Primates; Hominidae. The record is from RNAcentral.
GCAUCCGCUGCUCUGUUAAGUGAUCACCACAUUCAUUGUUCUCGUUUCUAUUAUUUCUGAAAAAAAUCUUCAGGAUUCUGCUUGUGGGAGUGGAUGACAUUUUUACAGUGUUUACAGGCUGAAAAUUUUUCGAGCUUUUAUGCUCUGCUUCCGUUAUAAGGAGGAGGCCUCACAAUCCUGGUGGAAGGCAAGGAGGAGCAAGUCACAUCUUAUGUGGAUGGCAGCAGGCAAAGAAAGCUUAUGCAGACACAAAAUGAACAAGAUGUCUGUGGCAACCCUCAGACCAUUGACGCCUUCUCUCCUAUGUAUCAAAUCACACAUUUGGACGUUGACUGAACCCUCACAUGUCAGAUGCUCAAUAUUGAGGUAUAGUAAAAGGGAGCAUGAACUUGAGAAAAUACGCUUUCAACACAAAGCUGUAAUAAUAUAAGGUCAAAUAAGAUUCUGCAUUGGAGAUAGAAAACUCUGAAGGAAGCUUUAUCUAUUCCAGAAUGUCAUAUAGCUGGUAUAAGGUUCAGGGGGCCCAUGUACAGGUUUGUUACAUGGGUGU